AUGGCUCUGGGCUGGAGCAAGGCUUUCCUUAGAGAAGCCAGUCCCCUUCCCCUUGCCCCCGCACUGCUGUCCCCCUGGGCCACGCUGCCCCCACAGCCUCUGCCUGCUGUGUGGAGGCAACGAGGGGCGGCCUGCUGCUGGUGGAGGCCGGGGGAGCGGCUGCUCUGGCUAGGAGUGGGACAAUUAAUGUCCUCCGUCAGGGCGGCAAGUCUCCAGACUUUGAGAAACAUCCCGGGGUUGGGCCGUGCCUGCCUGUUCCUGCAGUGGCUGAAAUACAGCCUUAUCCUGAGGGAAAUGGCGGUGAGAGGCGGCUGCCGGCUGGGAAAGGGGGGAGGCCUUGUGGCUGCGGAGAGCAGGAGCUGCUGCCGGCUGCUGUGGUGCGAAACGAAGAAGCACUUGUGUCCCAACUUCUUCAGGAGCUUAAAAAGACCUUCCUCUUGCUUCAGAGAUAAGAUUUCAGUGUAUGAAGAUCCUACUGGUGAUGCAAUUUUUCUGAUAAAUUCCAUGAGAGAUCUUGAAGUGACCAGAGAGACUUUUAUUAACAAUAAAAGGUGCAGAGGGCAUGCUGAAGGAAAGACAUCUUCAUUCAGUGGGAUGAAUGCUCAUUCAUCCACUGUUGCAAGGCAAUGGAUGGUUGUGCACAAACAUGAGAGAAGUGGAUUCGUUCCUUAGCCAUUGGGUGCUACAGAAAUCUGGUACCCCAGAGCCAUUUAGCUGUGAAGUCAGGACUUUGUCCAGUUACUGGGUUCCCAUAUGAUAUUUUGUGGCUCUAGAAGUACCUACCCAUCCAAUAUGGCUUCUGCAGGGCCACAGAGAUGGUUUCAGUAAUCAUUUACCCUGCCUUCUCUUACUUAACGUUUCCUCUCUGUCUAAGCACCUUGGUGCUCUGAGGCUUUGAGAUUUCUGAAUUUCACAGCCAAGGACUGGGCAGUAUUCAGUGAUGAGCUUUUAAUUGCUUAGGGGGCGGGAUGAAGUUCUUUCCUAAGUGUACAGGGUAUCCUAAGGGAAAAAAAGAUUCCCUUUCCCUUCUUCUUUCCCUUUUUCUUUCCCUUCUUCUUUCCCUUCUU
This 1067-nucleotide long non-coding RNA is filed under the name Anser cygnoides (Swan goose). RNAcentral's name for it is "lncRNA (ENSACDG00005006268.1)". Lineage: Eukaryota; Metazoa; Chordata; Aves; Anseriformes; Anatidae. The record is from RNAcentral.